Molecule: ribosomal RNA, 418 nt
Filed under: uncultured bacterium
Lineage: Bacteria
Description: bacterial SSU rRNA
Rfam family: Bacterial small subunit ribosomal RNA
Source: RNAcentral
UGGGGAAUAUUGGGCAAUGGGGGAAACCCUGACCCAGCAACGCCGCGUGAAGGAAGAAGGCUUUCGGGUUGUAAACUUCUUUUACCAGGGACGAAGGACGUGACGGUACCUGGAGAAAAAGCAACGGCUAACUACGUGCCAGCAGCCGCGGUAAUACGUAGGUUGCAAGCGUUGUCCGGAUUUACUGGGUGUAAAGGGCGUGUAGGCGGAGAAGCAAGUUGGGAGUGAAAUCCAUGGGCUCAACCCAUGAACUGCUCUCAAAACUGUUUCCCUUGAGUAUCGGAGAGGCAAGCGGAAUUCCUAGUGUAGCGGUGAAAUGCGUAGAUAUUAGGAGGAACACCAGUGGCGAAGGCGGCUUGCUGGACGACAACUGACGCUGAGGCGCGAAAGCGUGGGGGGCAAACAGGAUUAGAUACCC